RNAcentral lists this ribosomal RNA (473 nucleotides) under Selenomonas sp. oral taxon E44. RNAcentral's name for it is "bacterial SSU rRNA". It matches the Rfam family "Bacterial small subunit ribosomal RNA", at positions 28 to 474 of the family's 1533-position model. The record is from RNAcentral. Lineage: Bacteria; Bacillati; Bacillota; Negativicutes; Selenomonadales; Selenomonadaceae.
GACGAACGCUGGCGGCGUGCUUAACACAUGCAAGUCGAACGGAGCGAAUGAAAGCUUGCUUUUAUGAGCUUAGUGGCAAACGGGUGAGUAACACGUAGACAACUUGCCGACAGGAUGGGGACAACAUUCCGAAAGGAAUGCUAAUACCGAAUGAAGUCAGAGAAGGGCAUCCUUUUCUGAUGAAAGAUGGCCUCUGAACAUGCUAUCACCUGUCGAUGGGUCUGCGUCUGAUUAGCUGGUUGGUGAGGUAACGGCUCACCAAGGCGACGAUCAGUAGCCGGUCUGAGAGGAUGAACGGCCACAUUGGGACUGAGACACGGCCCAGACUCCUACGGGAGGCAGCAGUGGGGAAUCUUCCGCAAUGGGCGCAAGCCUGACGGAGCAACGCCGCGUGAGUGAAGAAGGUCUUCGGAUCGUAAAGCUCUGUUGAUGGGGACGAACGUGCCUAAUGCGAAUAGUAUUAGGUAAUGACG